UACGAAGGGGGCUAGCGUUACUCGGAUUGACUGGGCGUAAAGGGCGCGUAGGCGGAUGGUACAGUCAGACGUGAAAUUCCUGGGCUUAACCUGGGGGCUGCGUUUGAUACGUGCUGUCUGGAGUUCGGAAGAGGGUCGUGGAAUUCCCAGUGUAGAGGUGAAAUUUGUAGAUAUUGGGAAGAACACCGGUGGCGAAGGCGGCGACCUGGUCCGAUACUGACGCUGAGGCGCGAAAGCGUGGGGAGCAAACAGG
Molecule: ribosomal RNA, 253 nt
Filed under: uncultured bacterium
Lineage: Bacteria
Description: partial 16S ribosomal RNA
Rfam family: Bacterial small subunit ribosomal RNA
Source: RNAcentral